GUUUUCAUGGCGCUAACAAUAUGGCGAUGUAAUGGUGAUCUAGCAAAAAGGAACAUAUCCGUAUAUAUUUGCCACUGAAUUUUUCGUUUGCAAUCUACGUAUCUAUCAAUAUCGUAUCUAUUUCAUUCUAAUAAUCAAAAUACCCUGUCAAGUCGUUCCCACUGAUUGUCUCGUCUUCUACUGGCGUUUAAAAAGAGUUUCAGGCCCUAAUAAGCGUUUUCACUUCCACUUUCACUUCACACUUAUAUCACUACACUUGAUUUUCCCUGUUACCAGUAUCACGCACACUAAAGUAGUUACUGUAGUGAAAAAAAUUAUUUUUCCAAAAAAAUGAUGUGAUGUUCGUAAUAACUACAAGCUCAUAAAAGUAAUUACUUCUUCCUCUGAAGCGACUUUCGUGAUAAAUACCUACAUUCACUUCACUUGAUUUUCACCGUGAAGUGAUACCUAUAAUAAGGGUUUUCACCGUGUAGUGAUACCGGUGAUAAGGGCCUCAUUAUAUGAAUUCGAUAUAAGGGAAGAAUUAAAAAGAGACACUCCGGUUCCGCAUUUUAGCGUAGGCCACUUUUUUUGGUUCCUUCACACAACGGCAUGUAGCUACGUACAUAUAUCAUUAAAUGCAAUUCAUAUCAGCGAAGCGCAGAUCACAGCUGAUUGAAAUUGUAAUCGCAGCAUAUUUCACCGGUAACUAAACAUUUAUUUUUUGUAGGACUUUUAUGUAAUUGAAAUAUUGGAGAAGAAGUCAUAUAAAAUUUGUGAAUGCUGAUUAGUACAUUUGAUUUGAAGCAUAACACCAACAUUCGCCGUCAUACUGUUCGUCGGAGUACUACAAUGCAAUGGGUUGAAGAUCAUUCUGGUCUCACGGUGAGAUUUUUUUCACCCUCUGAGCAUCACGCCGUAGAUAAACGCAAAAGCGGUUAGUUUCGGGUUUUUACGCACUUUGAAGAGAAGC
Molecule: long non-coding RNA, 952 nt
Organism: Malaya genurostris
Lineage: Eukaryota; Metazoa; Arthropoda; Insecta; Diptera; Culicidae
Exons: 2
Source: RefSeq, a predicted model, not a curated record